CUCCUUUGAGCUUUGCUUUGUGCUCCAGGAAGAGACCAGCCCUUGGAUUCCCCUGCACGCGGCGUACAGGCAGCGGCUGGCAGACUUGGCAGCCUCCCACGAAUACUACGUGGCGGACAUCCAGGCCAGGACCCAGCGCCUGGAAGAGCAGAGAGAAGAAAUCCAGAGGCGCCUGUCGGACCUGGCUGCCCAGGACUCCUCCACCGCUCACGUGGAGCAGCUGUUGCUGGAGCUGAGAGCCCAGGAGGAGAAGAACCAGCUGGCAAUGGAUGCGCUGAGGGGUCAGAUUGGACUCCUGCAAGCUGCGGGCGCGAGAGCCCUGCACUUGGCCUAUCUCCAGGGCGGAGGGAGUGACGUGGCCGUCCUGGCUCAGCUGUACGAUCUGCAGCGGGAAGCGAUGGUGCUGGAGGCAGCCGCGGGGAAGCCGGAGUGCGGAGAGAAGAAGAAAAAGCCCCGCGCCGACGACACCCGGCCCCUGGCCGCGGAGCUGCUGGCCGUGGAGCUGCAGAACCAGCGGCUGGAGGACGAGCUCUUCAGGCUGAAGAUCCAGAGGGAUAAGAGGAGAGCGGAUGACGGCGUGCUGGGCAGGGAGCUGGCAGGGCUGCAACGGGCACACGUGAGGGAGAUGGCACAGCUGCAGGCCGAGAUUGGGAUGCUGAGGCACGACGCGGAAAGGAUGCAGCCGCGACGGGGCGGCAGGCGGUCGCCGCCUCUGCGCCCUCCACCAGUGGCCCCCCCCCUACCACCGCCCCCCCCGCUGCCUCUG
Molecule: long non-coding RNA, 766 nt
Filed under: Crocodylus porosus (Australian saltwater crocodile)
Lineage: Eukaryota; Metazoa; Chordata; Crocodylia; Crocodylidae
Description: lncRNA (ENSCPRG00005017852.1)
Source: RNAcentral